Taeniopygia guttata (zebra finch) is the source of this 898-nucleotide non-coding RNA. NCBI's taxonomy places the organism in Eukaryota, Metazoa, Chordata, Aves, Passeriformes, Estrildidae. The record is from RefSeq and is a predicted model, not a curated record.
UGGCCGAGCCACACCCUCUUACUUGUAAAUCAGUUUCCAGUAUACACCCAGUCUCACCUGCAAGGGUGUGGGGGGGCUUCUAAUACAACCGAGCAUAAUCUAACAAGUAUCCAAUAUUACACAUUUCAUACAAGGAAGGCGCGAAUUAUGUUUACUACACAUAACAUGUUGGUAACUUUGCUUAUAGUUUCAUUGCAUUUCUUCUGCUCUUGGAAACUCACGGUCCUGUCUCAAUCCUCAUUUAAAGAAUCCUCUCAGUCUGCCUCUUUAUCAUAUACAUAACCCUUCCACAACACCACACACUACUAUGAUUUCACAACAACCAAAAGCUUUUGACAGUGUUUUCCAUAAAUGGGGUUUCCCAGCCACUUGUCUAAGUCAGCACUCAAAUAUAGCUCUAGUAUUGCACCACACUACACUUCCUAAUUAUUGCAGAAGAAAACUUGAGAACACAACUGAUCUGAACACCAGAAUUUUAUACUCAUAAUACAUUCAUUGUCUAUUACUCCAACAGUUUACAGUACAAGAAAGCUACAAAAGCAGCAUAGUCCAGUACUCAAGUAUUCCUCUAAAGGGGACAGAGAAGUCAGUGUGGCCACUGUACAUCACAAUCUCCAAUUGUCAAACUGCUUUUUUGGUGGCAUAAUUAAAAUUAUUGAGGCCCGGUGUGUCCUUCCACUGGCUAGAGACCAAGAAAUGGAAGAAUGAAAGAUAAGAUCUACCUUUGCCUGACUUCAUCCGGAUUUAAGGAUCAAGCACGGAGAUUCAUCAUCUAAAAGCAUGGAGAUAUAUAAUUUCUUAGUAAUAAAGGAAGCUGUGCAGUUGCCAUGAAAAUAUGCCCUCCAGCUUAUAAAGAAUGACUUAACUGAAUAUUUGAGUUGUUGUACCGAGGAAUCAG